Long non-coding RNA from Sus scrofa (pig), 2098 nucleotides. RefSeq lists it as uncharacterized. NCBI's taxonomy places the organism in Eukaryota, Metazoa, Chordata, Mammalia, Artiodactyla, Suidae. The record is from RefSeq and is a predicted model, not a curated record.
UAUGCCGUGGGUAUGGCCAUAAAAACAAGGAGAAAAAAAAUGCUCAGGUAAAAUGGAGCUAUUCUUCAGUGUCUUGGAAUGAGAAAUGUUGCUUAUGGGUGAUUUUCCUCGUGAAGCAAAAAAGGAACAAACUGGUAAGAGAUAAAGGAACUAGUUGAGGGAGAUAUUUACAUUUACGAAGUCAGAGGGAGGAAGAGGAAAUAAAGUCACUCGGAGAGAGAAGUGAGAGCCUAAGAGGCCACAACCGAAGCAAGGUUUCUCAGGGGCACGGACCGUCAAAGACACAGCUGCAAACGCAAACAGAAACACCCCUGCCGGGGGCCAGCGCCCCUGCCAGGCGGGGGCGAGUGGGAAAUAAACACGCGACGGGCAGGGAAGAACGCACGUGCUCGCCAGGACAGCGUCUCUCUGGUGCUGGAGAUGGGAGCCAGACUCAGCCAGCCAGGAAGUCAAUAAUUACAAAUCAUUCUAGAAGUUUGCAGCUCGAGUUGGGUAUGCAUAGGCGGCGAGGGUUGAGAAAUCUGGCAGCGACAAGAAUGAGGGCUUCUGCUUGCUCCGUGUGGGCGAAGCAGUUACAAAGGAUGCAGGAGGAGGAGAGAGCUGUUUAGAAAGGGGGGCGCGGGGGGACGGGUGUGGCUCUUGUGUCCCUGUUCUGUGAAUAAGCUGGAGGUGAAGUCAUGCACCCGGGAGGGACACAGAGGGCUGAGAAAAUCGCGGGGAGGUUUUUAUAGAUGACGCAUUGAGGAAAAAAGGCAAGACAAGAGCCAUUCAGGAAAUCAUGGUGCAGCCGAAGGGCCAAUUAAAAGCAGAGAAUGCAGGCUUUUAGUGAGUGCAGUAGCUUUGUGGGAACGUGGCAGUGGAACCCAACAGCCGGGGUGACAAAGACGUGCCCUUGACCUGGAGGUGGAUCUGCUCCUGCAGCCAAGGCUGAAGGUCAGGGGUGAAGGAAGCCCAGUUAAAAAAAAAAAAGCUCGUCCUUCCUGGUCAAGUAGGAUGCUGUACCCGUCAUGGGCUCUGAUUGAAUGACUCCAGAAAGACAUGAAUGGCCUCACGGGGCUCUGGAGACAGAGGGACAGAAUGGGCACAUCCUGGCCCGAGAGGAGUGUGGCACGUUGGCUUCCGUACAAGGCGCCGUAGCAAAACACCAUGGGCCAGGCGGCUACAACCUCAGAGCCUCAUUUCAUUUCAUCAGGGUCAACGGUGGGACGUCUGUGAUCAAGCUCUGCCGAAAAGGGGGCAUUUCGCUCUUCAGCACGAGGAACUGCAUGCUUGGUGCCAGAUUUCCUUGCCCCCGCCAAGGACGUCAAGGCUCUGUCCCUCGGCAUGCACUUGGACUGCGGCCUGGCCGGUCCUGCCCUCUGGUCCUUCCUGGAAUGGAUCGGGCUGGUAUUGAUCGGAGAGAGAGCUCCAGGCAACGGCUGGGCUGCAGCGAGUCUAGUGCAGGAUGCUCAAUGCAGCCGCAACCAUCGUCUGAAUCCACAUCAGCCAGUACAACUGUUUGAAGUCCCUCCAUCCUGCUGCCUGGAAUGCACUUAUGAUUGCUGGAGCUUUAGCAACUCUUUUGGUACCUGAGGACAAGGGAUACACCCUAGACAUUGCGGAGUGGUGAGCUGGAAGUAGGCUGGCUGGCCUUGGGCUCCUUCCGGACUCCAACUUCUCCUGCGUAGACUCAGAGAAAAAUGGUAUGAAAGCUGCCAACUUGCAGCAUCCCGCUGGGGGGCCCCACCAUGUCUACUGGACUCCUACGGCUGCUGUACAAAUACCACCCAUUGGGCAGCUCAGAACCACACGAUGCUACUGUCUCACGGUUCUGGAGGCUGGAAGCCGGACAUCAUAGUCUCCACCCGGCUGAGGGCGCGAGGAGUGGGGGGAGUCUCCCCGGUGCUCUCUGCGCCUCUCCCGGCAACCCUUGGCUUGGAGAUGUGGCUGCAGGUCUGCUCCCGUCUUGGCUCUCGCUUCCCUCUGUGUGUCCCUCUGUGCCCUCUUCUUAUGAGGAUCUAGGUCCAGUAUGACUUCAUCUUUGUGUGGGGGUGUGUGUGUGCACGCUUUUUAGGGCCAUACCCACGGCAUAUGAAAGUUCCCAGGCUAGGGGUUGAAU